Molecule: long non-coding RNA, 838 nt
Filed under: Mus pahari (shrew mouse)
Lineage: Eukaryota; Metazoa; Chordata; Mammalia; Rodentia; Muridae
Description: lncRNA (MGP_PahariEiJ_G0005503.1)
Source: RNAcentral
ACCGAAGGAGAACUGUUUUGCUUUGCUCCGGGAAGAGUGCAGACACGACGUGAAAUCCGGAGCUCUUUGCGUGGUGCAUUUAAAAUGCUUCCUUAUUUAUAUUACCCUCAUCCCCUCCCCUCUCCCACCCCCUCACCAGCCCUUCCAAAUUUCCCUAGAAAUCUGUGUAAAGCGUGGAGGGGAAAACAUUUGCAUAAAAAGUGAAGGAGCACGCCAAGGAGCACCAAGGACCAAGAGGAGACCAGAUGAGUUCUCAGACACCCAGGACGCAUGUCAUCCUUGCCUCGUGCUUUCUGCAAUGUGGCUGCUCACCUUCAUCUUUCUAUUAACCCUCGCCAUAACGAUUCCCUCCUGACACCACCUCUUCUCCAUUAAUCACCCACUCAGCUCUCUCUGAGGUGUCUCUCCCAUGGGGCAUGGCUUUAUCUCUGGCAGGCUCCCCUCGAAUCAUAUCCAGAUGGCUACCAUUACUUCCUUUUCCUCUGUCUCCUCUUCACACCAGACUCAGUUAACACUCAGUCAGCUAACACUUGGUCAGGAAAAGCCAGAGAAAAAGCUCCCUCUUCCGAAAAGGAAGUCAGAGCAUGCUCUGCUGGGGCCACCAUGCUCAGGGAAGAGACCCAAAAUACAGCUGAGUGUGAUGUCAUUGAAACCAGAUGGAAAGACCAGAAAUCCCUUAAUCCCAGUCAGACCUAGUGAGGGAGCUUUGCUCGUGACUGUUGGGACUGAUUAAGAAUAUGGGGGCAGGGAGGAAGAUGUUCUGAAUUGGAUCACCCUUCAAUACAGAAUGGAAUCCCCUAGGUUUUUUUUUCCUCCAAUUAAAUGUGCAUUUCAUUCU